UCGAGGAUCUUCGGCAAUGGGCGAAAGCCUGACCGAGCGACGCCGCGUGUGCGAUGAAGGCCUUCGGGUUGUAAAGCACUGUCGUGGGGGAGAAAGGGAAACUUGAUCGACCCCAGGAGGAAGCUCGGGCUAAGUUCGUGCCAGCAGCCGCGGUAAGACGAACCGAGCGAACGUUGUUCGGAAUCACUGGGCUUAAAGGGCGCGUAGGCGGGCGGUCAAGUCAAGGGUGAAAGCCCCCAGCUCAACUGGG
RNAcentral lists this ribosomal RNA (250 nucleotides) under uncultured bacterium. Its description in RNAcentral is "partial 16S ribosomal RNA". It matches the Rfam family "Bacterial small subunit ribosomal RNA", at positions 355 to 617 of the family's 1533-position model. The record is from RNAcentral.